UCAAUCAUUGUCAUAAACUGUUUUUGCUAUCUCUCUUUCACAUUUUACUCUCUCGAGCAAUCUUCAUAAUCUCCCUUAAAUCUCAGUUCCUUUCAUGAACCCUAACUUUCGCCAUUCACUUUCCCAUCCCAAAAAUUGUAAUUUCACUUUGUUCUACCUCUAAUUGCAUCUAACGGUUAUGUCUGAUUCGAUUCCUCCUUCUUUCUCCGGCGAAUUUCGUUGUCUCAGAUUCAUGUGAUUCACUGUCACCAACGACUAAGUCGAACCAACAACACAGAGCAAUUCGACUCCUGGUAAUGUACAAACUCUCUAAUUUCUUAGUAGUAAUUUUUGAAAGAUGAUAAAAAUUUGGGGAUUUUAGGUUUACUUGAAAUUUAGUUUUUUUUUUGUUUCAAGGUAGGAAAUUGAUUAUACUAGACGAAGAAGAAGAAAGCUUGUGGAUCUAAGUGCCUAUCACGGUGAAGAGAAUUCAAGAGGUAAACUUUGAAUUUCACAUAUUUGAACUACCCAGUUAUACAGUUAGUUAUUAUUGAUGAUGGUUUAUUUUAUAAGAGCUGAGACUAGAAUAAACUUAUAGGAACAGAUUUUGACUUCUUAGUUUUUCCAUUGGUCUCAUAAUACGUGUACUAGAGAGCAAAUGAAACUUUAAUGUUUAGGUGUGUAGUGGUUUUUGUAACGUAUGGCUUGUAAGACGUCUCUGUAUAUUAAGAGACAUCAAACAUAAUUAACCGGAAUAAUUUUAUUAGUAGUAUAAGAUUGUAAAGGGAACAACGCAAAUGUAAGAAACACGAUAUAAAUAAGAACUUACCUCGUGUUGCUACUAAUUGUAAAAGUCUUAGAAGUUAAGUGUGAAAUUCUAAAGUUUGUUUGGUGAUAUGAUCAGUUUAAAAUAUAAUGAUCUACUACCAGACAAAAAUUUGGACAAAGUCAAAAGUGUAGUGUCUUCUUCUUUUUUAUCCGAUACAGAGAACAAAAGCAAAGUGGGAACCAAAAAAUGUGUUGUAGAACAUUUUCUUUAAUCUUGUUCUUUAUCAUGGUUUCAGUAACCAUAGUUUUAUUUCUUUCUUACCCAAUUAUGUAGUCCAAUUACAUAGAUUACUUUUAUUAAUAUGUUUGAUUUUGGUAUAAUGCAGGAUUAGUUGGAGAUGUCUACCACUAAUGAAGAUUCUUUCAGUUUACCAAGAAAACGCUUUGAACCAGACAAAAAACCUACACUUGAGUCUCAUAUCAACUAUAAAUCUCGUCUUAGUCUCUAUGAUGAAAAGUGGGAUAGGCAUUUUAAAAAGGAGUUAGAUUACAUUAAGGCAUCUCCUUUUGGGGAUUUAUAUCGGCUAGCACCCUCCAAGAGCACCCAUUAUUUUUGCACACCACAACAAGCUUUGUAGGAUCUGAUUUUGAAACUCUCCAGCCAAACUUAUAUUUUACUGAAAGCAUCCACAACCUCUGCUGUAUUUCAUAUUUGCUCUUAAAGUAUUCACCCACUUUAAUGUCUGUAUUGUUAGAAGAUAGAAUAUUGUUGUUAUCACCACCAUCGUUUUUAUCAUAUUGAUCACCAAGAUCAACAUGA
RNAcentral lists this long non-coding RNA (1567 nucleotides) under Arabidopsis lyrata. RNAcentral's name for it is "long non-coding RNA (ALYR_LNC000481)". The record is from RNAcentral. Lineage: Eukaryota; Viridiplantae; Streptophyta; Magnoliopsida; Brassicales; Brassicaceae.